ACUAUUAAUAGCAUAUGGUCACACAUUAAUUGCUUCAUGUGACCAUCAACCUUCCACCUCCAAUUGGAACCCUAAUCUCACCUGCUGCCAUACGUCCACCUUCACCUCGUAUCCUUGAUAAUUACCAGUUUCAACAGUGCAUCAACAUCGAAUUGAAGUUUGGUUGGACUGUGGAUAUUUGAAGGAAUGUUGAAUGUUGAUGCUGUUACGGCUGUUGUUCUUGGACUGUAUGUUCUCCGUAUAACCGGAGUCGUGACAUGGAAGGAAUGCUUGGCUGAAGCUGUUGCAUGGGAUACCCUUACAAGGUUUUUUGUACCUUAACGAAUAUUUGUCAGGUCAUUGUUUGACUUUUAAUUGCAAUCCACUCCCAAGUUCCUUUGACUUUUGUAAGACUGCAUCUGCAUACACUAGUUACUGCUCUGUAACUUUGACUUCUAAAUAGAUGGUGACCACGUUAGAACAAUCUACUUGCAAGAAAUGCGAAAAUGCGAAAGACUCUGAGAAAGACUCUGUCAGUUGCUUUGAUGCUACAUGUAGGUGAGAGUGCAACCAUUGAAAACUCAUGAAACCGGCUCGGGCUCAAAGCUGGAGUUGUCUAGCUCGCCACUUAAGUUUCUGGUCUUCACAAAGAUAACAAGCCUGAACGACAUACUUACAGUGGCAUAGCCAGGGAUUCUUUUUAGAUUGGUUCUUGUGCUAUUAAUAAAACGACAGGUUACUUGUAGUGGCGGAGCCAUGAAUAUUUUUCGUUGGGGUCAAAAAAACAAUUAUCGGAGUUUGUUUAUAUGAAGUACUUUUUACCGGGUUAUGUCAACAGGUUUUUAUGUUAGGUCAGGUCAGGUCAUCGAUGGUGUUUAUCCAAAUAUUACCCAAAAGUAACAUAAAUUAAUAAUGACUUCAAAUUAAGCUCCUUCUAUCAUUAGAAAAAAUCUACAUAAAAUUUUCCAAAUAGUAAUCUGUAUGCA
This 965-nucleotide long non-coding RNA is filed under the name Helianthus annuus (common sunflower). Lineage: Eukaryota; Viridiplantae; Streptophyta; Magnoliopsida; Asterales; Asteraceae. The record is from RNAcentral.